UUGAUGUGUUGGACUUCCGGUUUCUGGGUAAAGGACAAACUGACCAGUGUGUUUGCUUUUGAUCCCCGGAAGCCCCAUUCAAGCUAUGGCAACGGUUUGUUUGGUUUAAGCUAUAAAUUCCUAAAGACAAAGAGAGCAGGAGAGGAGAUGCACCCCGAUUGUGGAGACAGGGGAACUGUAGCUGAGUCCACAGGCCCGAGAGAGCGGGGCGCAGAGAAGCAGGUCCACCAGCAGCUGGGAUGGGCCCUCAGGCAGCACGGGGGGCGGGGGGACUCGGAGGUGUGGUCCAGACUAGCUCGAGGGGCUCUGCUCAGUGGAGGGCUGGGCUGAAGCCGGGAGUGGAAGGGACGAGGCCACGCAGAAAGCCAGGGAACGGGAGUUUUACAUCCUCAACGCCCCCAGCCGCGCCCUCCUCCCCACCCCGCCUCCAGGCGGGAGAGUGAAGGGUCUUCUGGGGUCUGAGCACGAAGGUUUGGAGCCGACAUGUCUGCCCCUCCCUCAGAGUAUCCAGUUUGACCUUGGCCCCCUUGUCGAGGGUCGGGUGAUCUGGAAGCGGAUGCCAAGGCAGAGUUCAGAUGGCAUGACCUUGCUGCAGACCCCAGGGGCCUGGGCCCUGAUUCUCCUGCUGGGCUUGCCCACCAAGCCCACAAGCUUGCCCAUCACUGAUGUAGGCAACACCAGCCUGCCCGCUGCAGGACCUUUUCCUGCUCCGGGUGCCCUCCAAGUUGUCAGCCCUGUGUCACCUGGGAAACGGCCAGAGCACAUGCCUGGGUGGGGGCUGUGCUGCCUCCAGCGCCUGCAGAAGCUCGACAGGAGUGGUGCUCCCUCUUCAUGGCGGAAGGUGCAAGAUGCAAGAACCCGUCCUUUGCUCUGAGCGGGUGCCCAGGAACGCCCCUUUGCCCUGGGCCACUAGAAUUUUUACAGGUGUGGCAGGCCUCAGAAUCUCCUUGAUCUCUGGCCGUGGCAUCUGCUGCUGCCCGAGGCCGCCCUCUUGAGUGCCCAUGUGUCACCACGGCAUGUUGCUCAGCCAGCCCAGCCACAUCAUGUCACUGAGGAAAUGGAUCGAUGUGACACUGUGAGGAACGUCGCUGUGGUCCAGGGCAGGGGAGUUACACAUAGCCCUGGGUGGCUGCACAUAUGUGCUGUGUGCAUCCAUGUGGAGGACGUGGUCUGUCUCUGAUGGGAUGGAGAAUGCACCAUACCACAGGGCCUCGUGUCCCUGGGGCCACAUCACUCUGCCCUGGAGGCUGUGGUCACCCUCCAGGAUCUAUUCCCUUUUAGUAAGGACUGGACCGGUGAAUGAAAUGGACGUAUGAGGGGACCAAUGCCCCUGCAUCCUUCAGCUCCUCCAGGACGGCACCAAUCUCGCCGUCUCCCUCCCCACAGGCGACCUUGGUCUCCUUUACUCUCUUGGCUGCAGAGGGAGGAGUUGCACAGCUUUCCUUUAACCUUUGCACUAUGAUCACGAUGAUGGCUCUGCCCACAGACCAAGGAUCCUAUGGGGCAAAUGUCAAUCAUUGUUCACAGACUGGGGAAGUGACCACUGGGUGGGUCUGCAACCCAGUGGACCCCCUGUAAGCUGGACCUUGGGCAGAAUGCCAUUAAUCACCACUCUAACAGGGGUCUCUGGAUACCAGUGUCGACCCUGGCCUGGUCCUAUGGCCCCUAAAACCUCUGGCACUCCCUUCCCCAGUGCAGUUGCUGUAGGUCCCCCUGGGGAGGCAGAGCCAUGCGCCCUUUCUCACAUGGUCAGAGGACAUUAAGGAUGGGAGACGGAGAGGCCGAGAUGGUCACCCCACAAACAGCACAAUCCCGGACUCAGUUUCGGCCCUGAGCCAGCUUUCAGACCUGGGACCCAUUGACUGAAGAGGUGGCCAGGUGACCAGGAGAGGUGUUUGAAAGCUCGGAGACUCAUCUACAUCGCCAUAUUUCCUUUAAACAAAGAAAGAAUAUUUUAA
This is a non-coding RNA of Equus caballus (horse), 1958 nucleotides long. The record is from RefSeq and is a predicted model, not a curated record. NCBI's taxonomy places the organism in Eukaryota, Metazoa, Chordata, Mammalia, Perissodactyla, Equidae.